Long non-coding RNA from Mytilus californianus (California mussel), 2982 nucleotides. RefSeq lists it as uncharacterized. The transcript has 3 exons. NCBI's taxonomy places the organism in Eukaryota, Metazoa, Mollusca, Bivalvia, Mytilida, Mytilidae. The record is from RefSeq and is a predicted model, not a curated record.
UUUAAUAAACUAAACAUAAUAUUUCCUUUGAAGUUUAUCCUCAUAGUGUCAUACCAUUUCCAGAAAAUAUAGCAAAAAGAUCAAAGUCCGAAAUAACAAGUGUAUUUUGAAGAAACACAUGUCGAUAAGCUAUUCUAUAGGACUAAUUCCGUGCUAUUAUAUAGGCUUCAUCAACAGCGAUUUAUGGAAAUAUGUGUAAUAUGUCAAGACGUUAUCACCGAUGAAACUGUCUGUAAACCAUGUGGUCACAAGUUUUGUUAUAGUUGUAUCAUAGAAUGGAAUCUACAAAACAACACAUGUCCACAUUGUAGAACUCAUGUGAUCUCACUUUUAUUUUCUGUCAGUAUAUAUAAUGUGUUAAGACGAACUUUUCGAACUUUAAACAUGGUUUACCGACGUCAAUAUGCCAAUGAAUCUGUAAUUAGUAAUCCGGCCAUCAUAUGUUUUAUUAUAUGCGCUGUUCCGUUUAUCUUAGUAUAUAGUGAUAUGGGCAUCAGAUACAUGUAUUCCCCGAUAUCCAAAGGUUGUCAGUAUACACUGCAAGCAACGAAAAACAUAACAUUUGAGAAAGCAGGAAUGAUGUUCAAUGUAACAUCCGUUUCGAAACAAAUAAAUCAGAGUUUACAAAACGCGGUUGAAUGUUUUGAAAUAUUUUUUCAUGAGGAGUUAAGUGUGUUUUAUUCCAUUUUAAAAUUUAUUCAUGAACUUUACCUUAUGAUGUUACAGAUGGCCAAUUUAAUAACAGAUGGAAUCUAUAAUGAACUUCUGCAACUAUAUGAAUUAUUUUCUCUUAUCGUUGCUGAUAUAUAUCACUGUUUAAAACUGAUAAUAUCUUACAUGGUUUAUUUAGUAGUUGACGUGGUCUAUGGGUUAUGGGAUGUUAUGAAAGUACUUUGGGAAUUUGUGAAAAAUGUAACUCCAGUACUUGGCUGGUUUAUAAUUCAUGCAUGUAUGGUUGGAUUACGCAUGCUGAUUUAUUACAACAUUACCCGUUUUGUAUUAUCCUAGAUUAGAUUCGUACAUUUGUUAUGUAUAUUUUUCAUUAGCAAGACCUUACAACUAUUCACUUUGCAGGGAUGAAGAAGGGUAUAAUUUCGAGGAAGUGGACUCCGUUUAUCCUAAACCAAGAUCCUCUUCUUCUUCAAUAUCGUUUAGGAACUAUAUGACGAACCGCGACUUUAAUUCGUCAAAAAAAUUUAAUGACCAAGGGACUUUCGCAUGAAAAGUCAAAUGCAAUUUCCAUAUAUUCCAUAUAUUUUUUUAACAUAUAUAUCUGUGAUAAAGGCAUAUUACGAUUCACCGACUUCUCUCGUUUUAAUUUGUUUUGUUUUUGCGAAACAUAUUUGAAAAAUUCCAGUUUUAUGCCUUUUGACCACAAAAUGUGAAAUUGAAAAUCCGACUGAAUGAAUGUUUUGAAUACGCGAAUGCGAGAAAGCAAAUCCAGCAAAUACUUAUAUAACAUGUAGGUUUCCAUAAAUCGAUGUUUUGAAUAAUGUUUUAAAUACUGUUAAUUAAGAUUUACCUCUGGAUUAUAUUUUAUUUUUUUAACUUUCAUCCUAUGUCUUCUAUCUAAAUUUACGGGACUGUGAUCGAUUAUAACUACUCGAUUGUCGUUUCUGUUGAGUCCUUCCGUACGUUAUGUCGUUAUGUCGCUCGAAGUUGUAAUCACUUGUAAAAUCCAUAUGUGUCCAUGUUACCAAUGCUUGUCUGUAUCCAUGCUACACACACAGGUUCAUCAUUGCCUCUUAGAAGUUCGGUUUCUAUACAUAAUAUCCAAUUCACACUAGGCGAUUCAUUAUGUAUUUGAACAGACAGAUAACGCAUUUGGUGAGCAACUUCUUGGCUAAUUGUCGUGUUGUUGGUAUCCAAAAUGUCUAACAUAAGUGACUGUAACACUCAUUCAUACAUACACAAAGUAAUUGUUCCUGUUCGUCCAAUACAGUGAGUUCAGUUAACGAAUGAUUUGCUGAUUAUAGAUACAGAAAUGUUGAGGACUCUGGAAUUCGUGAGAUGUGAGUUAUCACGUUAGAUUUGAUAUGACCAAAUGCCUUUAGACCAAUGAAUAAUUUUUUGUCUAACAAGAAUAACUUUGUAUGUGAUUAUGUUGUGAUAUUUGUAGACAUGUCAUUCAAUCUGUAAAUAUAAGUGUAUUUCUUGCCAUUUAAUCAUGUCCAUCAACCAUUUUCGCCUUUUUUGCCGAAGUACACUAUGCUAAAAUCUAUCUAUCUUGUUGAUCUCAGUAGAACUAGAUCGACAUGCAUAUGGACGUGUCAGAUAUGUUAUUUCCUUCACUCGAUAUGCUAUAAAACUGGAAAUCUUUCUUGAUGUUCUCACAAACAAAAAACAACUUACAAUGCUGCUAUAUAUAUAUAUAUAUAUGUGACUCAAGAAAGUUUUUGGAUAACUAAGCGUUGAACUAAGACUAUAAACUAAUAGUGUGCCGAUUAGUGCUGUUAUAACUAAGUUCCGUUGAUGAAAUUAUAUUAUUAAAGAAUACCGAGGAAUAGUAAAUGUUAAAUUGCACUUUCAAUAUCUGUCCCUGAAGUCUUUAACUUAUUCGGAAUCUAUUCGUCCCAUUCAAAACUAAAUUCACAUAUCUCUUGUAUUAAGUAUUUUCGCUCUAACUGUUACCGGAUUAAUUCGUAAAUAUCAUUCGUUAGCGUGUCUGGAUACCUCUUCAAAACGGACACUCGUUCCCGAAGCAAGCAUAAACAAAAAUAUAAAGAUCACAUUAUUGUCAGUCAAUUGAUCUGAAAUAAUGAAUUAUAAAUAAAUAAAAAAAAAAAAGAAAAAUUCGAACUAUAUUUAUUGCAAAAUAGUCUACAAGGACAGCAAUCACUACGAAAGGUGUUCAUAUACAUCUCCCCUUUAUUUAUAUUUUGAAUGAAAUUCUCAUAAUAAUUUAAAAAAUAACUUAGCAUUUUUUUAUGCAUAAAAGCAAAUGUGGGUUAAACGUCAAUAAGACAACAAUACAACUAUAAA